This 725-nucleotide long non-coding RNA is filed under the name Heterocephalus glaber (naked mole-rat). Its description in RNAcentral is "lncRNA (ENSHGLG00000036456.1)". Lineage: Eukaryota; Metazoa; Chordata; Mammalia; Rodentia; Bathyergidae. The record is from RNAcentral.
CUCCAUGUAUGAAUCCGUUGGGUGAGAGGCUGGUGCUGGGGGUUGACCGCAGGGCCUCGAGCAUGCCAGGCAGGUGCUGGACCCCUGGGCCACACGUCUACCCCUGAUGAACCCAGAUGCUGAACUGGGGUUUCAGCCUCCAGUGCUCUGGCUCCAAGGCAGGACAGCAGAGAGCUGCUCAUCACAAAAACCAGGAAGCAGCAGGGCAAAGGGAGGAGCCAGGAUGGAAGCCACGCCCUUCUGGCCACGCCCCCAGUGACCAAUCCCACAUCUCCUAACAGCAAGUGCUGCAUCGAUGGUGUUUCCACGCAAACGUGUGUGCAUUAAACGGAAUCCUGUCAUGCUACACAACCAUGAACACCUGCCCUGGCUUCUCCGUGCACACUCCUGUCCCUGGCUUUCGGAGAGAUUCUUCGUCCUGGAGUAACGGAGCCAAAGGGCAGGGCUGGGUGAGGCUCCUCCUCCCUCUCCCAGAUUCCCUCUCUGGAAGGGUGCAACGGGGCCCACGCCUGCAGCAGUGUGGAAGAGGAGCCUGGGUCACGAGGGACCCGUUGCCCCUCCAGCCCCCUGCCUCACCCAUGCCUGUCUUCAGGCUUCCUGAGACACCACGCCCUGCGGCAGGGUGAUACACAUUGCUAGGGCAGCUGAGCAUGGCUCCAUACCCCGCAGGGGGCCCCAGGGCUGCUGCACGGGCUUCGGGUUCCCUUUUUGCCGUGGGACCAAGG